AAGAUGAAGAAGAAGAGGAGGAGAAGAUUGGGAAAUGUGUUAAUCAUGGAGACCAUGUUGAGACAUUCUCUACAUCCAGAGAGCAUCAGCAGGAAGAUCACAGAGCAAAGAUGUCUCACCACUGCCCACAUUUUGCAGUGGGCUAAGGAAUGAAAACACUGGAGAAUUUUAAAAACAUUGCCUGGUCUGAUGAAUCCCUGUUCCUGCUGUUUCACGCUGAUGGGAGGAAACCACGAGUACAACAUUGCAGGCUGGUGGUGGUGGUAUGAUGGUGUGUUUUCAUGCCACAUAUUGGGCCCCUUGAUAAAAGUGGAGCAACGUUUGUGUAAAAAUCAUUGCCAAUCAGGUGCAUCCCUUCAUGGUGGCCAGGAAUGAUUCCAAGAACAUGACAGGGAAUUCAGCUUACUGCAGUGGCCUGCUGAGUCACCAGAUCUCAAUCCAAUUGUGCAUCUGUGGGAGGACAUGGGAGGAAACCACGAGUACAACAUUGCAGGCUGGUGGUGGUGGUAUGAUGGUGUGUUUUCAUGCCACAUAUUGGGCCCCUUGAUAAAAGUGGAGCAACGUUUGUGUAAAAAUCAUUGCCAAUCAGGUGCAUCCCUUCAUGGUGGCCAGGAAUGAUUCCAAGAACAUGACAGGGAAUUCAGCUUACUGCAGUGGCCUGCUGAGUCACCAGAUCUCAAUCCAAUUGUGCAUCUGUGGGAGGACAUGGAAGGAGCUAUUCAGAGUAGAUCCACUCCCAGCCAACUUGACACAAUUGUGGGAAGCAUUGGAGUCAACAUGGGCCAGCAUCCCUGUGGAACGUUCUCAACACCUUGGAGAGUCCAUACCCCGACUAUUGAGGCUGUUCUGAGGACAAACGGAGGUAUAACUCAAUAUUAGGAAGCCAUUCCUAAUGUUUUGUGUAUAUCAGAUAAAGAUGUUGUGGUGAUAAGUUUUCAGCAUUAGUUUGGGUGGAUUCUUUUAUAUUACUAAACAACUUUUGUUUAAUGAUAAACAGGCUAUGAAUCGAAUACUUGUGUUUUUAUUAAUUUGUCUUUUAAUACUAGAUUCAUUAUUUUAGUCAUUGAUGAUGAAUGUAUUUGAAUAACUGUAUUGAAUAUAAUUGAUCUGGUGGCAGGUAGCCUAGCGGUUAAGAGUGUUGGGCCAGUAACUGAAAGGUUGCUGGUUUGAAUCCUGAGCCGACUAGGUGAAAAAUCUGUCAUUGUGCCCUUGAGCAAGUCAAUUAACUCUUAUUUGUCCUGUAAGUCUCUCUGGAUAAAAACAUCUGCUAAAUGACAAGAAUGCAAUGAAAAAUGUUUGUACAUGAAUUCAUGCUGGGCAGCCACUUUUUUCUGAUGUGUAUAAUUAAAUGAAAUAAACCUUUUAGUUAAAUAUU
Molecule: long non-coding RNA, 1375 nt
Organism: Oncorhynchus kisutch (coho salmon)
Lineage: Eukaryota; Metazoa; Chordata; Actinopteri; Salmoniformes; Salmonidae
Exons: 3
Source: RefSeq, a predicted model, not a curated record